RNAcentral lists this ribosomal RNA (473 nucleotides) under uncultured bacterium. RNAcentral's name for it is "bacterial SSU rRNA". It matches the Rfam family "Bacterial small subunit ribosomal RNA", at positions 335 to 799 of the family's 1533-position model. The record is from RNAcentral.
ACUCCUACGGGAGGCAGCAGUGGGAAUAUUGCACAAUGGGCGCAAGCCUGAUGCAGCCAUGCCACGUGUGUGAAGAAGGCCAUCGGGCUUGGUUAAGACACUUUCAGUGAGGAAGAAAGCUUGUCGGUUAAUACCCGGCAAGGACGACAUCACUCACAGAAGAAGCACCGGCUAACUCCGUGCCAGCAGCCGCGGUAAUACGGAGGGUGCGAGCGUUAAUCGGAAUUACUGGGCGUAAAGCGUGCGUAGGCGGCUUGGUAAGCCGGUUGUGAAAGCCCGGCUGCAACCUGGGAACGGCAUCCGGAACUGUCAGGCUAGAGUGCAGGAGAGGAAGGUAGAAUUCCCGGUGUAGCGGUGAAAUGCGUAGAGAUCGGGAGGAAUACCAGUGGCGAAGGCGGCCUUCUGGACUGACACUGACGCUGAGGUACGAAAGCGUGGGUAGCAAACAGGAUUAGAUACCCUGGUAGGCUCUG